This 71-nucleotide transfer RNA is filed under the name Pectenocypris sp. MZB 22148. RNAcentral's name for it is "tRNA-Ser". It matches the Rfam family "tRNA". From Rfam's summary of the family: Transfer RNA (tRNA) molecules are approximately 80 nucleotides in length. Their secondary structure includes four short double-helical elements and three loops (D, anti-codon, and T loops). The record is from RNAcentral. Lineage: Eukaryota; Metazoa; Chordata; Actinopteri; Cypriniformes; Danionidae.
AAGAAGGUGGCAGAGUGGUAAUGAUGCUGGCUUGAAACCAGUAUACGGGGGUUCAAUUCCCUCCCUUCUCG